Molecule: ribosomal RNA, 558 nt
Filed under: uncultured archaeon
Lineage: Archaea
Description: bacterial SSU rRNA
Rfam family: Archaeal small subunit ribosomal RNA
Source: RNAcentral
AUUACGGGGUGCAGCAGGCGCGAAAACUCCGCAAUGCGCGAAAGCGUGACGGGGCUACCCCGAGUGCCGUCCGCUGAGGAUGGCUUUUCCCCGGUGUAAUGAGCCGGGAGAAUAAGGAGAGGGCAAGUCUGGUGUCAGCCGCCGCGGUAAUACCAGCUCUCCGAGUGGUAGGGAUGAUUAUUGGGCUUAAAGCGUCCGUAGCCGGCUUAGCAAGUCUCCUGUCAAAUUCAGCGACUCAAUCGUUGAGCCGCGGGAGAUACUACUAGGCUAGGAGGCGGGAGAGGCCGACGGUAUUCUCGGGGUAGGGGUGAAAUCCUAUAAUCCCGGGAGGACCACCAGUGGCGAAGGCUGUCGGCUAGCACGCGCUCGACGGUGAGGGACGAAAGCUGGGGGAGCAAACCGGAUUAGAUACCCGGGUAGUCCCAGCUGUAAACGACGCGGGCUAGGUGUUGGGGUGGCUACGAGCCACUUCAGUGCCGCAGGGAAGCCGUUAAGCCCGCCGCCUGGGGAGUACGGCCGCAAGGCUGAAACUUAAAGGAAUUGGCGGGGGAGCACAAU